This 857-nucleotide ribosomal RNA is filed under the name uncultured bacterium. RNAcentral describes it as "bacterial SSU rRNA". It matches the Rfam family "Bacterial small subunit ribosomal RNA", at positions 97 to 950 of the family's 1533-position model. The record is from RNAcentral.
GGCGGACGGGUGAGUAAUGCCUAGGAAUCUGCCUGGUAGUGGGGGACAACGUUUCGAAAGGAACGCUAAUACCGCAUACGUCCUACGGGAGAAAGCAGGGGACCUUCGGGCCUUGCGCUAUCAGAUGAGCCUAGGUCGGAUUAGCUAGUUGGUGAGGUAAUGGCUCACCAAGGCGACGAUCCGUAACUGGUCUGAGAGGAUGAUCAGUCACACUGGAACUGAGACACGGUCCAGACUCCUACGGGAGGCAGCAGUGGGGAAUAUUGGACAAUGGGCGAAAGCCUGAUCCAGCCAUGCCGCGUGUGUGAAGAAGGUCUUCGGAUUGUAAAGCACUUUAAGUUGGGAGGAAGGGUUGUAGAUUAAUACUCUGCAAUUUUGACGUUACCGACAGAAUAAGCACCGGCUAACUCUGUGCCAGCAGCCGCGGUAAUACAGAGGGUGCAAGCGUUAAUCGGAAUUACUGGGCGUAAAGCGCGCGUAGGUGGUUUGUUAAGUUGGAUGUGAAAUCCCCGGGCUCAACCUGGGAACUGCAUCCAAAACUGGCAAGCUAGAGUAUGGUAGAGGGUGGUGGAAUUUCCUGUGUAGCGGUGAAAUGCGUAGAUAUAGGAAGGAACACCAGUGGCGAAGGCGACCACCUGGACUGAUACUGACACUGAGGUGCGAAAGCGUGGGGAGCAAACAGGAUUAGAUACCCUGGUAGUCCACGCCGUANACGAUGUCAACUAGCCGUUGGGAGCCUUGAGCUCUUAGUGGCGCAGCUAACGCAUUAAGUUGACCGCCUGGGGAGUACGGCCGCAAGGUUAAAACUCAAAUGAAUUGANNNGGGCCCGCACAAGCGGUGGAGCAUGUGGUUUAAU